Molecule: ribosomal RNA, 301 nt
Filed under: uncultured bacterium
Lineage: Bacteria
Description: partial 16S ribosomal RNA
Rfam family: Bacterial small subunit ribosomal RNA
Source: RNAcentral
CGUAGCCGCGGGAAUACGUAGGUCCCGAGCGUUGUCCGGAUUUAUUGGGCGUAAAGCGAGCGCAGGCGGUUUGAUAAGUCUGAAGUUAAAGGCUGUGGCUCAACCAUAGUUCGCUUUGGAAACUGUCAAACUUGAGUGCAGAAGGGGAGAGUGGAAUUCCAUGUGUAGCGGUGAAAUGCGUAGAUAUAUGGAGGAACACCGGUGGCGAAAGCGGCUCUCUGGUCUGUAACUGACGCUGAGGCUCGAAAGCGUGGGGAGCGAACAGGAUUAGAGACCCCAGUAGUCCCUGUCUCUUAUACAC